CCUACGGGCGGCAGCAGUGGGGAAUAUUGCACAAUGGGCGCAAGCCUGAUGCAGCCAUGCCGCGUGUGUGAAGAAGGCCUUCGGGUUGUAAAGCACUUUCAGCGGGGAGGAAGGCGGUGAGGUUAAUAACCUCAUCGAUUGACGUUACCCGCAGAAGAAGCACCGGCUAACUCCGUGCCAGCAGCCGCGGUAAUACGGAGGGUGCAAGCGUUAAUCGGAAUUACUGGGCGUAAAGCGCACGCAGGCGGUCUGUCAAGUCGGAUGUGAAGUCCCCGGGCUCAACCUGGGAACUGCAUUCGAAACUGGCAGGCUAGAGUCUUGUAGAGGGGGGUAGAAUUCCAGGUGUAGCGGUGAAAUGCGUAGAGAUCUGGAGGAAUACCGGUGGCGAAGGCGGCCCCCUGGACAAAGACUGACGCUCAGGUGCGAAAGCGUGGGGAGCAAACAGGAUUAGAUACCCCGGUAGUC
RNAcentral lists this ribosomal RNA (465 nucleotides) under uncultured Klebsiella sp. Its description in RNAcentral is "bacterial SSU rRNA". It matches the Rfam family "Bacterial small subunit ribosomal RNA", at positions 338 to 795 of the family's 1533-position model. Lineage: Bacteria; Pseudomonadati; Pseudomonadota; Gammaproteobacteria; Enterobacterales; Enterobacteriaceae. The record is from RNAcentral.